Molecule: ribosomal RNA, 506 nt
Filed under: uncultured bacterium
Lineage: Bacteria
Description: bacterial SSU rRNA
Rfam family: Bacterial small subunit ribosomal RNA
Source: RNAcentral
AACGAACGCUGGCGGCAUGCCUAACACAUGCAAGUCGAACGUGAUCCGGAGCUUGCUCCGAUGAAAGUGGCGCACGGGUGAGUAACGCGUGGGAACCUGCCCAGAGGUAGGGAAUAACCGCGGGAAACUGCGGCUAAUACCCUAUAUUCCCUUCGGGGGAAAGAUUUAUCGCCUUUGGAUGGGCCCGCGUCGGAUUAGCUAGUUGGUGAGGUAACGGCUCACCAAGGCGACGAUCCGCAGCUGGUCUGAGAGGAUGAUCAGCCACACUGGGACUGAGACACGGCCCAGACUCCUACGGGAGGCAGCAGUGGGGAAUAUUGGACAAUGGGCGCAAGCCUGAUCCAGCAAUGCCGCGUGAGUGAUGAAGGCCUUAGGGUUGUAAAGCUCUUUCGGCGGGGAAGAUGAUGACGGUACCCGCAGAAGAAGCCCCGGCUAACUUCGUGCCAGCAGCCGCGGUAAUACGAAGGGGGCUAGCGUUGUUCGGAAUUACUGGGCGUAAAGGGCGG